GUGCUCACUUCAGCAGCAUAUAUAUUAAGAAGAUUAGCAAGGCCCCUGUGCAAAGAUGACAUGCAAAUUCAGGAAGGGUUCCAUUAGAAA
This 90-nucleotide small nuclear RNA is filed under the name Aotus nancymaae (Ma's night monkey). The record is from RNAcentral. Lineage: Eukaryota; Metazoa; Chordata; Mammalia; Primates; Aotidae.